RNAcentral lists this ribosomal RNA (281 nucleotides) under Methanobrevibacter millerae. RNAcentral's name for it is "partial 23S ribosomal RNA". It matches the Rfam family "Archaeal large subunit ribosomal RNA", at positions 2647 to 2927 of the family's 2987-position model. The record is from RNAcentral. Lineage: Archaea; Methanobacteriati; Methanobacteriota; Methanobacteria; Methanobacteriales; Methanobacteriaceae.
UGUUCGCCCAUUAAAGGGGAACGUGAGCUGGGUUUAGACCGUCGUGAGACAGGUUGGUUACUAUCUAAUGGAUGUGUUAGUAGUCUGAGGGGGAGGUGGCUCCAGUACGAGAGGAACGAGUGGGCGGCGGCUCUGGUCGACCGGUUGUCUGAUAAGGCAUUGCCGUGCAGCUACGCGCUGGGUGAGAAAGGCUGAAAGCAUCUAAGCCUGAGGUAUCCCCUGAAAAUAGAUUGCUUUUGAGGACGCGAGUAGAAGACUUGUUUGAUGGGGUAGGGAUGUAA